CAGCUUGCCGUACGUAUCCAAAAUUGUAUCGAGCAACUAACGUUAACAUAUUAUAUUACUCCAAAUUGUCCCGAAAAGACAUCAUUUUCGAGCUGUACUAUCUUUUUUUUAACAAUUUAUUUAUUCCUUGGGAAUCGAAAGACAGCUCUCAUCUCUAUGAACUAUUUACUCCAAUUAGAAGCCGUUGAUCAAGAGCAGCUCUGAAUGAAAGAAGAUUAGCCGCUCUCUAUAGACACUAUUAUUUAGGGUAUUAGCUCGUUUUGGAGUCUUUCCGGAUUGGUUCUAUUAUCAACUACGUCUCAGCUGGACAAGUGCUGAAUCCGAAUUGGACUUCCGAUCGAUAAGUUUCAAGAGUAUUGACUUGGGCACCACAGGAAACAUACAUAUAUCCAGCUAAUACCAAUUUUUUCAAUACUGAAAGGGUUUCCCUACUUUUGCAACCUCUUUUCCUUUCUCCCUCUCAGCUCCCAAAGCCUC
This is a long non-coding RNA of Drosophila montana, 477 nucleotides long. RefSeq lists it as uncharacterized. The transcript is spliced from 3 exons. Lineage: Eukaryota; Metazoa; Arthropoda; Insecta; Diptera; Drosophilidae. The record is from RefSeq and is a predicted model, not a curated record.